Non-coding RNA from Pantherophis guttatus, 868 nucleotides. The record is from RefSeq and is a predicted model, not a curated record. NCBI's taxonomy places the organism in Eukaryota, Metazoa, Chordata, Lepidosauria, Squamata, Colubridae.
AUACAAACGCGGCCACUAUAUUGCGUCCCCGUUGCAGACUUUCGGCUUUGAGAAGCUGGGCAAAGAUUUGGGGGAAGUCGCCCAUUAACUGCGGCAUCCCAGCAGAUCCCAAAUGCUGCGCAGAAACUCAGGGUGGAACAGAGGAAAGUGAAAAUGGGGAAAACGUUUAAGGAAGAUAUUUCGCCGGGAAUUCGCACGCCUAUUUAAACGAAGAGUCUUUCCUUCCCAAAGUAAGGGGGAACCUCACUCACUCCCUGUGUUGCAGCCUCCUUACCCAUGACCUGAUACUCCUUAUUUUUGCCUCCAGAAUCUGGAAUCUGAGUAAUCCAGCAAAGAAAUUCAGAACCGAAGGUAAUGCCAGCCAUGUCUACUUUGCCAGAGUUGUGGUUUUACACAAAGAUAUCAAUGUGACAGUGGUAGGAGGAGGUUUGUUUACACAUUAAUUAGUGAGCAAAGGCAUCCCUAUGAAGAGAAAAAAGCAGCAGCACUGAUCCACAAACGUUUGUGUACAGGAGGAUGCAGUUUAUAGCCUUGGGAAAAUUGUACAGCAGGUUAGGAGGUGGAUAUUUAACUCACAUAAUACAAUUGUUUUUGUUAAGAUCUUCAAAAAACCCUGCCGGUUUCAUUGUUUGAUGUAUGGAUGGAUAGCACGCUUGCUGCUUAAAUGAAAUAAAUGGUAGCAUUUCAGCUUCCAAGGCUUGACAUAAAUGGGGUAGUAAACUUAAGCAUACUCAAAUGUAGAGUGCCUUGAUGGUAGGAUAAAUAGAACAGAUAGACAUAAAACUUUUAAUAAAAAAUAUAUGUCUCAAAAAUAGCAGUGAACAUAAAAUCUAACCUUAUUAAAUCAUUUUAAUACUACCGCAGUAAA